UGUUGGCAUAGUUUCACAAAAACAUUAGGCAGUGGCCCUAAAAACAGAAGUUCAAUUCUUCUUGCUAACC
This 70-nucleotide transfer RNA is filed under the name Sceloporus jalapae. RNAcentral describes it as "tRNA-His". It matches the Rfam family "tRNA". Rfam says of the family: Transfer RNA (tRNA) molecules are approximately 80 nucleotides in length. Their secondary structure includes four short double-helical elements and three loops (D, anti-codon, and T loops). The record is from RNAcentral. Lineage: Eukaryota; Metazoa; Chordata; Lepidosauria; Squamata; Phrynosomatidae.